GACGAACGCUGGCGGCGUGCCUAAUACAUGCAAGUUGAGCGCUGAAGGUUGGUACUUGUACCAACUGGAUGAGCAGCGAACGGGUGAGUAACGCGUGGGGAAUCUGCCUUUGAGCGGGGGACAACAUUUGGAAACGAAUGCUAAUACCGCAUAAAAACUUUAAACACAAGUUUUAAGUUUGAAAGAUGCAAUUGCAUCACUCAAAGAUGAUCCCGCGUUGUAUUAGCUAGUUGGUGAGGUAAAGGCUCACCAAGGCGAUGAUACAUAGCCGACCUGAGAGGGUGAUCGGCCACAUUGGGACUGAGACACGGCCCAAACUCCUACGGGAGGCAGCAGUAGGGAAUCUUCGGCAAUGGACGAAAGUCUGACCGAGCAACGCCGCGGGGGUGAAGAAGGUUUUCGGAUCGUAAAACUCGGUUGGUAGAGAAGAACGUUGGUGAGAGUGGAAAGCUCAUCAAGUGACGGUAACUACCCAGAAAGGGACGGCUAACUACGUG
Molecule: ribosomal RNA, 497 nt
Filed under: uncultured bacterium
Lineage: Bacteria
Description: partial 16S ribosomal RNA
Rfam family: Bacterial small subunit ribosomal RNA
Source: RNAcentral